This 345-nucleotide unclassified non-coding RNA is filed under the name soil metagenome. Its description in RNAcentral is "partial contains 5.8S ribosomal RNA, internal transcribed spacer 2, and large subunit ribosomal RNA". The stretch from base 1 to 119 matches the Rfam family "5.8S ribosomal RNA", at positions 35 to 154 of the family's 154-position model. The record is from RNAcentral.
GAUGAAGAACGUAGCGAAAUGCGAUACGUAAUGUGAAUUGCAAAUUAAGUGAAUCAUCGAGUCUUUGAACGCACAUUGCGCCCCCUGGUAUUCCGGGGGGCAUGCCUGUCCGAGCGUCAUUGCUGCCCUCAAGCACGGCUUGUGUGUUGGGCCCCGUCCUCCGAUCCCGGGGGACGGGCCCGAAAGGCAGCGGCGGCACCGCGUCCGGUCCUCGAGCGUAUGGGGCUUUGUCACCCGCUCUGUAGGCCCGGCCGGCGCUUGCCGAUCAACCCAAAUUUUUAUCCAGGUUGACCUCGGAUCAGGUAGGGAUACCCGCUGAACUUAAGCAUAUCAAUAAGCGGAGGA